UACGUAGGGGGCGAGCGUUGUCCGGAUUCAUUGGGCGUAAAGCGCUCGCAGGCGGUUCGCCGCGUCUUGCGUGAAGGCCCUCGGCUCAACCGAGGGUGGUCGUAAGAUACGGGCGGACUGGAGGUAGGUGGGGGGACGCGGAAUUCCCGGUGUAGUGGUGGAAUGCGUAGAGAUCGGGAGGAACACCGGCGGCGAAGGCGGCGUCCUGGACCUGGCCUGACGCUCAGGAGCGAAAGCGUGGGGAGCGAUCUGG
This 253-nucleotide ribosomal RNA is filed under the name uncultured bacterium. RNAcentral describes it as "partial 16S ribosomal RNA". It matches the Rfam family "Bacterial small subunit ribosomal RNA", at positions 524 to 776 of the family's 1533-position model. The record is from RNAcentral.